AGGAGGACAUCUUUGAGGAAUCCUUGUUCUGAUCCAGUUUCAUGGAAGGGAGAUCCAUGACAAAAGAUUAUCAAAGUUUAGGAAAGAAAUUAAUGUUUAUGUUUUGUUCAUACUACUGUACAGUCCUCACUUGACAUUCAUGUGGCAUAGUGAAAUCUGUGAAUAACCAGAGUUCAUAAAGUCUGGAAGAAUGUCAUCACAAAAUUAAUAAAAAAAAACUUGUAAAAGUUUUUGAAAAAUUACUGACGAACUCUUUCAUUUGAAUUACUACACUUAUGUUGUUUCUUGGAUGAGUAGGAAUUUGUUAUAUUUUUUUUCAGGUCCCUGAUGAGUUUUGGUCCGAGGUGAAGAUGUAUGUUAAGACCCUCGUCCUUGCAGAUUGUGCGCGUCAAAACAAGUCUGACAAAUCUGACAUUUUGCUGUUGUUAGAUGAAAAUUAGAAAAUAAUCGUUGAAGAUGUGUUGAUCAGCAAAAAGUACCUGCAGCACUGCCAGACCAUAGAAUUACAAAGGUGCAAGUUUUCUUGAUGUCUCCAAGUCGGGGUUAGCUAGUUCUCACUUACGAAUUUCACCUUUAUUAGAGAUAGGAGUAUAUGCAUUAUUUGUUCACUGAAAGCAAUGGUUAUUUCCUUUAAAAUGUUUUGGCACUUUUAAUGGGUUCCUGACAUUCUGGUAAAAGCAACAGAACAUUUGGUAAUUUUAUUGAGGAGAAAUGAGCACUUUCCCUUUACUGCACUCCUGCAGUGUGAAAUGAUUUUUUGUAAAAAAAAAAAAAAAAAAAAAGAAGAAUCUUUGUUAGUCUACUUGAAUAGUAAAUGAGCCAGUCAUUGUGUCUGAAAACAUUUUCACAAGGAAUAUGCCAGGAAAACAUAUGAAGUAAAAGUAUGAAAGAGUUAUUCUAAGCCUACCAGGACUUUCCUGUAUUUUUAGUUUACUGCAUUUAAUUUUCCCAGAUAAUGCAGAGGACAGUUAUUUGGGACUGAUAUAACUAAGCAUGCCUAACUCAAUCUCUUAAGUAGUAUUAGUUGGGGUGUAUCCUUGGUAAUUUUCCAUUAUGUGCAUUUGAUUUCCUGGAGUAUUGCAUAUUACAAUGAAUAAUUCAUAGUAAUAUAAAAUAUUAUUGUAGUUUUUAGAAUACUAUACAUGAAUUAUAAUAAUACUUUUCUCUGAACAAUUUGGUUAUUUUAAGAAUUUUUGUAUCCAUUCAUUGUUUGAAAUUUUUGAGCAAUUUCAUCUCUUUUCAUACAUCUAUGAAUAUUUUCCAUAUUUGAGAAAGGCUGUUUUAUGAUAGGUUGCAAUUUUUGUACCAUAAAGGGGUGUGUUGUUAACAACUUAUUAAUUAUAAUUUUCUAGUACCUUUUGAUGAGUUCAAAUUGUCAUUAUUUUAAGAAUUUUGUUCUCCAUUGAGGGAUAGAAUUUGCAAGGCAAAUUUCAUCUCUUCCUUCAAUUACUGAUUUUUUUCUUAUAUUCAUUUUAUCAUGAUCAUAAGUUACAUAAAUUCUGUAACUUAUUUCUGUUUCCUGUAAUUUUGUUUUAUUUAUCAUUGUUGGUGAUCAUUUAAAAAAAAUUCCAUUCAAUCCUCAAUCCAUUUUCAUGAAAUCAAUUUUAUAGUUAUGUAGUAGUUGCACUAUUCCAUAUAAAAUACAUUCUGCAAACCUGCUGAAAUGUUUGAAGUAAUUAUUUUUGUAUUUUAAAAUACACUUGAGAAAAUAAGAAAAAUUAUGCAGGUAAGAAUUUUGAAUUUGAGUAACCUUUGAGACAGAAACAUCCUUUAAUGCCUUGACAUAGUUUUACAGUCAAUAACUUGUUGAGAAAGUAUGGAUCACACAGUACAGGUUGAUGGCUAAGGUUUGUGAGAGCCUCCAUGUGAAUCAUACAAAUAGGUAGAUGAAUGCAGUUGCUAUAUUAAUUUUGUUCUCAUCUGGUCGUGUCUCUGUAUCUGGUUCAUGCCAGUACUACUUUUUGAAAUGGUGAAGCAACCCUAGAUAGUUCAUCUGAAAUCAUGAGCAAGUUAUCUACAAUAUUUAAAGCCAUUUAAAUCAAUAUUUUGCUCGAUUUACAAGGUUUACUAAAGAUGAAUUUGAGGGGUGGGGGUUAAAUUGGCCAUUAUAAAAAAAAUGGCCAUUUCGAGAUGAUCAUACCAAUGAGCUGGAAAGGUCCAUUUCUGUCAGUGCUGUAAAGGCCAAUGAUGCCUGCAUGUUAAGAAUACCAAACCAACAAUAUGUUCGGAUCCAAACUCAGCUCUACUCUUCUAAACUUUUAAACUACUUAACAUAUACUUGGUCUGUAACCCAAAAUCUCAAUAUCUCAUCUCUUGCAAAAGUAGCUUUCUCGAGGUUAGGUGUUCUUUAUUGUCUCCACCAUUUUUACUCCCUCACAGACGCUAUCCUUAUACAAGAGCCUUCUGUGUUCUUGUUUAGAGUAUGCUUUUCAUAUGUGUUGUUCUUUUUUUAUAGUGUCUAGACUUUUCAUCAUCAGCUUUCCUUCGCUUACUGACAGCCUUCUAUCUCUUAAAUUCCGCCACAGUGUUGCCCUCAUUCUAUCUUCUAUCAAUAUUUUCAUGCUAACUGCUCUACUGAAUUUGCUAAUUGCAUGUCUCCACCCCUCAUACAACCCUGCUGCACCUGACUUCCUAUUCUUGUUCAUUCCUAUGCCAUCCUAUUAAUUCUUCAUCCCUUUUGCUGGUAAACUGGAACAGUCAUCUUGUGUCUUUUUCCUUCUGCCUACGACUUGAACUUUCAAGAGGGAAGUAUCAAGACACCUCCAAAUGACUGUUUUGGAAUUCUUCUAGUAUACACUAUUUGCGCCAGUGGACUAUUUUUACUUUUAUAUUUAUAAAUAUAUUUAUUUAACUGUU
Molecule: long non-coding RNA, 2856 nt
Organism: Eriocheir sinensis (Chinese mitten crab)
Lineage: Eukaryota; Metazoa; Arthropoda; Malacostraca; Decapoda; Varunidae
Exons: 2
Source: RefSeq, a predicted model, not a curated record